AGCGAACGCUGGCGGCGUACUUAACACAUGCAAGUCGAACGAGGAUCUUCGGUGUAGCAAUACAUCGUUGGUCCUAGUGGCGCACGGGUGAGUAACACGUGGGUGACCUGCCCUUGAGCUCGGGAUACCCCCUCGAAAGGGGGGCUAAUACCGGAUACGUUCCUCGGUCGAAAGACUGAGGAGGAAAGGUGGCGCAAGCUGCCGCUCUUGGAGGGGCUCGCGGCCUAUCAGCUAGUUGGCGGGGUAACGGCCCACCAAGGCUAUGACGGGUAGCUGGUCUGAGAGGACGACCAGCCACACGGGGACUGAGACACGGCCCCGACUCCUACGGGAGGCAGCAGUGGGGAAUUUUCCGCAAUGGGCGAAAGCCUGACGGAGUGACGCCGCGUGUGGGACGAAGGCCUUCGGGUCGUAAACCACUGUCAGUGGGAAAGAUGGGUGUCGGUGCUAAUACCAUCGGCAUCUGACGGUACCUGCAGAGGAAGCCCCGGCCAACUCU
This 499-nucleotide ribosomal RNA is filed under the name uncultured bacterium. RNAcentral describes it as "bacterial SSU rRNA". It matches the Rfam family "Bacterial small subunit ribosomal RNA", at positions 28 to 504 of the family's 1533-position model. The record is from RNAcentral.